CGGGAGCUGUACAGGUGCUGCAUGGCUGUCGUCAGCUCGUGUCGUGAGAUGUCGGUUAAGUCCGCUAACGAGCGCAACCCUCGCUGUGUGUUACAAGUGUCACACGGAACUGCCGGUCAUAAACCGGAGGAAGGUGGGGAUGACGUCAAGUCAGCAUGGCCUUUAUAUCCUGGGCUACACACACGCUACAAUGGGAAGGGACAAUAGGUUGCGAAGCCGCGAGGCGGAGCCAAUCCAGCAAAACUUCCCUCAGUUCAGAUUGCAGGCUGCAACUCGCCUGCAUGAAGUUGGAGUUGCUAGUAAACGCAGGUCAGCCAUACUGCGUUGAAUACGUUCCCGGGGCUU
RNAcentral lists this ribosomal RNA (345 nucleotides) under uncultured Anaerolineaceae bacterium. RNAcentral's name for it is "bacterial SSU rRNA". It matches the Rfam family "Bacterial small subunit ribosomal RNA", at positions 1024 to 1382 of the family's 1533-position model. Lineage: Bacteria; Bacillati; Chloroflexota; Anaerolineae; Anaerolineales; Anaerolineaceae. The record is from RNAcentral.